RNA transcript from Nannospalax galili (Upper Galilee mountains blind mole rat), 3905 nucleotides. It is a transcript of the gene named CUGBP Elav-like family member 3, with no coding region annotated. NCBI's taxonomy places the organism in Eukaryota, Metazoa, Chordata, Mammalia, Rodentia, Spalacidae. The transcript is spliced from 13 exons. The record is from RefSeq and is a predicted model, not a curated record.
CCGAGGGAGGACCCGAAGGGGGGCAAGGCAGAAGGGACCCCCGAAGCCCUGUCGCCAUCAGAGAUCAAGCAUCUGGCAUCAGGGAUCUUCAGACCCAGCAGAAGGAUCAGCCACAGGAGAGGUGUCCUCUCUGGGGAAGCCAACGAGCGAGCCACCUGCCUCACAUCAGAAGCAGGGACCCCCUCAUGCGCUGCUGGCAACCAUAUCAGGCCCCUAGUCCCUGGUCCUCUCUGUUGCCCUCCUCUGGCCCUUUCCCCCUCUCUGUUGGCAUCUCCACCCUGGAUCCUGGCUCUUAGAGCUCCAGCUACCACUCAAACCCUCCUGGGCUUGGCCACCCUGACCCCCAUCCUGGGCUAUCUGCCAUAUCUCUGGGAGGGAGAUCGUUUGUUUGGGCUAUGCCCCCUGGUGGCAUAACAGUGUCUGCCUGGACCCCUGACCCCCAGCCCUCAACUCCCCAGGCCUCCUUUGUGUGAAGAGCGGCUCCACUGCUCGGCAGUGUGGUUGGGGGCCAAAGGGAAAGCCGGUCCGGCUGGGCCCCGGCUCCCACCACCUGCCUCCUGGUUGGGCAGCUCCCCUAGCCUUUGGGCUUCUCCUUGCUCCCCCCCGGCCCCUCCUCCUGGGCCGCCCCAAUGAAGGAGCCAGAUGCCAUCAAGCUAUUUGUGGGGCAGAUCCCGAGGCAUCUGGAGGAAAAGGACCUGAAGCCCAUCUUCGAGCAGUUUGGUCGGAUCUUCGAGCUGACUGUCAUCAAGGACAAGUACACCGGGCUGCACAAGGGAUGUGCCUUCCUGACAUACUGUGCCCGCGAUUCAGCCCUGAAGGCCCAGAGUGCCCUGCACGAACAGAAGACGCUUCCAGGGAUGAACAGGCCGAUCCAAGUCAAGCCAGCAGACAGCGAGAGUCGAGGAGAAGACCGGAAGCUCUUUGUGGGGAUGCUAGGGAAGCAGCAGACAGAUGAGGACGUCCGGAAGAUGUUCGAACCAUUUGGGACCAUAGACGAGUGCACUGUGCUCCGGGGGCCAGAUGGUACCAGCAAAGGCUGUGCCUUUGUGAAGUUCCAGACUCAUGCUGAGGCCCAGGCAGCCAUCAACACCCUUCACAGCAGCCGGACCCUGCCGGGUGCCUCAUCCAGUCUGGUGGUGAAGUUUGCUGACACAGAGAAGGAGCGAGGUCUCCGCCGGAUGCAGCAGGUGGCCACCCAGCUGGGCAUGUUUAGCCCCAUUGCCCUCCAGUUUGGAGCCUACAGCGCCUACACCCAGGCCCUGAUGCAGCAGCAAGCGGCCCUGGUAGCAGCUCACAGUGCCUACCUCAGUCCUAUGGCCACCAUGGCUGCUGUGCAAAUGCAGCACAUGGCUGCCAUCAAUGCCAAUGGCCUCAUCGCCACCCCCAUCACCCCAUCCUCAGGAACCAGCACGCCCCCUGCCAUUGCUGCCACGCCCGUCUCUGCCAUUCCUGCUGCCCUGGGUGUCAACGGCUACAGCCCAGUGCCCACCCAGCCUACCGGGCAGCCUGCCCCCGAUGCUCUCUAUCCCAACGGGGUUCACCCUUAUCCAGCCCAGAGCCCUGCGGCCCCUGUGGACCCCCUCCAGCAGGCCUACGCAGGGAUGCAGCACUACACAGCAGCCUACCCUGCAGCCUACAGCCUGGUUGCCCCUGCCUUCCCGCAGCCACCAACCCUGGUUGCCCAGCAGCCCCCGCCCCCACCACAACAGCAGCAGCAGCAGCAACAGCAGCAGCAGCAACAGCAGCAGCAGCAACAGCAGCGAGAAGGCCCUGAUGGCUGCAACAUCUUCAUCUACCAUCUGCCCCAGGAGUUCACGGACUCAGAGAUCCUCCAGAUGUUUGUCCCCUUUGGCCAUGUCAUCUCAGCCAAAGUCUUUGUUGACCGGGCCACCAAUCAGAGCAAAUGUUUUGGCUUUGUGAGUUUCGACAAUCCGGCCAGUGCCCAGGCUGCCAUCCAGGCCAUGAACGGUUUCCAGAUUGGCAUGAAGCGCCUCAAAGUCCAGCUAAAGCGGCCUAAGGAUGCAAACCGGCCCUACUAGGGCUUCAGGUGGGUGCUAUUCUUGCCCUGUGCCCUCCUCUCCAGGCUCUACACAAUGCUGACAGGGCCCUCAAGCCGGGGCCCCCACCCUUCUACCACCCUCAGGGGUACUUACCCUCACCCCCAGUGCUGGGCAUGAGAACUAGGAUCUGGGGAGUGCCUUCAACUGUUGUUUAAUCAAUCAUGUCUUCCUUACACACAUGCUCAUGUGCACAUAUACACACAAAGCGAUCCCAGAAAGAGCCAAGUCUGUAUCUGUGUCUGCUCCCAGAUUUUCCACAAUAUCUGGUCUUCUUUGUCUGGUCAGUGUCUGUGUGUCUGUCUUUCUUUCUGGUUUUCCUUUGGGUUGGAUGGCAUUAAAAAGAGUAAAUUUGGGAGCCAGCAGGCUGGUUUAGAGUACCAGAGGGUCCUAGAGUUAUGUGGCUUUGGAAUCUGUUCUCCCGAGAAGUGGAGACACACUAGUUCCUGGUUGCCCUGGACUUUGGGUGCUUUUCUUACUUAGCAAUGGAACCAGGGCAGGAGAGCACAGCACAGAUGGGUGUGGGUGUUGGCUUAUCUUAGUGGAGGAAGUGGAAUACCACAUUGCCCAUAAAUUUUGCUCAGCAGGGCCCCUCAUCCCCAGUACAGGCCACCAUCCUAACCUCAGGGCCUCAGAUCUGUGAGCCUGGCUACUUUUGAGUUGCUUAAUCUCCUUUGGACCAAACCUUGAAAAAUCACAACCCAAGAACAAUACCCACAUUUCUGUUUCUCCCCUUUCCCCCCAAUCCUGGCUGCUUAACUCCCCCCACCCUGGGGGCCCCCAGCCCAGGGCCCGUGUCCAUUGUCGGCUGAAGCCCCCAUCCCCGGACCCCUGCUCCGGGCCCCUGUCUGGAGAUACCAGAGGAAGGGGCACUUCACACCCUCUUCCCAUGACUGGCCCCUGGCCUCUCUGCACAUCGGCCCUGAGCCUUGAUUGGGCUCUAGGGCAAAAGCUGCUUCAUGGUCCUGGGGGCCAGGACCUGGCUCACCUCCACCACCUUGCCUCUCUGAAGGGCCAUGGCUUUGCUUCCCUGGCUCCAAGAGCGUGUUUCCUCCCAGGUGCCCUUUUGGCCUUUGUGAGGGAGCAAGGAAUGGGCUUGAAGGUUCUGGGGGAUCUGCCUUCUGCUAGGGCUCCUGAGAUGGGCCUCCAUGCCCACUGUUCGCACUUGUCUCCCCAGUGGGCCUGUCACAGUUGUACAGACCCAGGAGGACAGUGGGGCCUCCUCUCCCCCAGCGCCCUUACCCCAGCCUCUUCCCCGCAGUUGGGGCUUCUCAGAAGCUGGAUUUCACAUUCCCUCCACCCUCAGCUAGAGGUAGGAUAUCCCUGGACCCUGGGGCUCCCAGCCCUAAAACUCACUGCCUCCCCCAAAGCCCCCCUCCACGGAGGGUGUGGGGGCCCCUGAGGGCUGCCUCUCUGCCAGUCACAGAGACCCUCCUUUUAUGAGGAAAAGACCUUCCCCUGAACCCCUAAAAAUGUUUACAGUCUCUGCUGGCUCCUCUGUGUAAAUACCAUGACUACCAGGGUGUGACCCAGCCCACCCAGCCAGACGCUGCCAUCUCUCUUUCUGGGAGUUUAGACAAUGUUGCCCUUGGAUUUUUUUCUUUUUUGAUUUCUCCCUUUGCUUUGGGGGUAAUUGGGUAUUUGGGAGGAGGGGUGUAGGGAGGGCUAAAUGGGUUUAUUACCUGAUCAUUUUCUUUAGGAAGAGGCUAGGGAAAAGAAAAUGGGGUGGGGGUGGGAAUGAUAAAGGGGAGAUGGGGAGUCAGUUUCUGACGGUUCUCUACACUUCACUUAUUUAUUUAUUGCAUUUUAAAAGAGUUGGUCUUUUCUGUCUAAAUAAAGAAAAAAGUU